UGGGGAAUAUUGGACAAUGGGCGCAAGCCUGAUCCAGCCAUGCCGCGUGUGUGAAGAAGGCCUUAGGGUUGUAAAGCACUUUCAGUGGGGAGGAAGGGUGUUGUGUUAAUAGCACAGCAUUUUGACGUUACCCACAGAAGAAGCACCGGCUAACUCCGUGCCAGCAGCCGCGGUAAUACGGAGGGUGCAAGCGUUAAUCGGAAUUACUGGGCGUAAAGCGCACGCAGGCGGCUUUUUAAGUCGGAUGUGAAAGCCCCGGGCUCAACCUGGGAAUUGCAUCUGAUACUGGGAAGCUAGAGUAUGUGAGAGGGGGGUUAGAAUUCCAAGUGUAGCGGUGAAAUGCGUAGAGAUUUGGAGGAAUACCAGUGGCGAAGGCGGCCCCCUGGCACAAUACUGACGCUCAGGUGCGAAAGCGUGGGGAGCAAAACAGGAUUAGAUACCCUGGUAGUCCACGCCGUAAAACGAUGUCUACUAGAUGUUCGUGGUCUUGUACCGUGAGUAUCGCAGCUAACGCAUUAAGUAGACCGCCUGGGGAGUACGGUCGCAAGAUU
RNAcentral lists this ribosomal RNA (551 nucleotides) under uncultured bacterium. RNAcentral describes it as "partial 16S ribosomal RNA". It matches the Rfam family "Bacterial small subunit ribosomal RNA", at positions 355 to 895 of the family's 1533-position model. The record is from RNAcentral.